This 346-nucleotide unclassified non-coding RNA is filed under the name soil metagenome. RNAcentral describes it as "partial contains 5.8S ribosomal RNA, internal transcribed spacer 2, and large subunit ribosomal RNA". The stretch from base 1 to 119 matches the Rfam family "5.8S ribosomal RNA", at positions 35 to 154 of the family's 154-position model. The record is from RNAcentral.
GAUGAAGAACGUAGCGAAAUGCGAUACGUAAUGUGAAUUGCAAAUUCAGUGAAUCAUCGAGUCUUUGAACGCACAUUGCGCCCCCUGGUAUUCCGGGGGGCAUGCCUGUCCGAGCGUCAUUGCUGCCCUCAAGCACGGCUUGUGUGUUGGGCCCCGUCCUCCGAUCCCGGGGGACGGGCCCGAAAGGCAGCGGCGGCACCGCGUCCGGUCCUCGAGCGUAUGGGGCUUUGUCACCCGCUCUGUAGGCCUGGCCGGCGCUUGCCGAUCAACCCAAAUUUUUUAUCCAGGUUGACCUCGGAUCAGGUAGGGAUACCCGCUGAACUUAAGCAUAUCAAUAAGCGGAGGA